RNAcentral lists this non-coding RNA (29 nucleotides) under Rattus norvegicus (Norway rat). Lineage: Eukaryota; Metazoa; Chordata; Mammalia; Rodentia; Muridae. The record is from RNAcentral.
GGGUUCUUGCGUAGCAUAUAUGAGGCUCU